UGCAGUCGAGCGAGAAAAUUCCUUCGGGAAUGAUUAAAGCGGCGGACGGGUGCGUACAACAUGGAUAACCUACCUUAAGGUCUGGGAUAACCUCGGGAAACCGAAGCUAAUACCGGAUAAGACCACAUUAUCUGCGGAUAAAGGGGUAAAAGUUUUUCGCCUUUUGAUGGGUCCAUGCUCCAUCAGGUUGUUGGUGAGGUAAAAGCUCACCAAGCCGAAGACGGAUAGCCGGCCUUAGCGGGUGAUCGGCCACACGGGGACUGAGACACGGCCCCGACUCCUACGGGAGGCAGCAGUGGGGAAUAUUGGGCAAUGGGCGAAAGCCUGACCCAGCCAUGCCGCGUGAAGGAUGAAGGCCUUCGGGUCGUAAACUUCUGUCAGGAGGGACGAUGGGACUCCGGUCUUGACGGUACCUCCAGAGGAAGCCCCGGCUAACUCCGUGCCAGCAGCCGCGGUAAUACGGAGGGGGCAAGCGUUGCUCGGAUUUACUGGGCGUAAAGGGUCCGCAGGCGGUUAAGCAAGUUAGAUGUGAAAGCUCAAGGCUCAACCUUGAAAUUGCAUCUAAAACUGCUCGACUAGAGUCCAAGAGGGGUCGGCAGAAUU
This 603-nucleotide ribosomal RNA is filed under the name uncultured delta proteobacterium. Its description in RNAcentral is "bacterial SSU rRNA". It matches the Rfam family "Bacterial small subunit ribosomal RNA", at positions 56 to 668 of the family's 1533-position model. The record is from RNAcentral. Lineage: Bacteria; Deltaproteobacteria.